GGCUUGUUGCGCAGUAUGUUAUCAAUCUCAUUUACCACAUGUGAUGUCAUCUUUGGGAGAACCUGAGAGCAGGAGGAGAAGUACAAAGGAUAUUGUUAGCAGUGUUGAUCAUUCGGUUUUUUGUGCUCUAUAUUUAGCAAAGUAAUCUAGAAUCAUAUAUCUUCAUAAACCACAGCUGAAAUCUAAGCCCCCCGCCCCCAACACCAUCACAUUGUAAGCUCCUUGAGGUCAGGGGCCUUGUUGAUUGACUGCAUAAAUGAAGGCAUAAAGGCAUAAGUGAAGGCUCAUAGAAAUACAGAGCAGCUCUAUCCAACAGAAAUAUAAUGCAAGCCACAUUUGUAAUUUAAAAUUUUCUAUUAGAUACCUUAAAAAGAACAGUGAAAUUAAUACAUGUUUUUACUUCAUUAUAUCCAAAACAUUAUUUCAACAUGUAAUCAAUAUAGAAAAGAUACUUGACAGUUGUUUUUGGUACUAAGUCACAUCUUGUGAACAUGUUACACUUAAAGCACAUCUCUGUUUGGACUCACCAUCUUUCCCGCAUACAAUAGCCACAUGUGGCUAGAACCAUAGUAGUACACAGCACAGGUCUAGAGACUAAGGAGAGAUUUAUUCUGACUGGUGGUCUUAUCCCUGGUGAAGGAUGGCUGGGGUUUAACAGGCAUCCCAGGUAGAUGGAAUAGCAUGGAAAAGUGAACUGGAGUGAUAGUAUACAGUGAUUGGUGUAGGUGUGGGGAUGCUAAGAACAGGAUACGGAUGGUAAGAAUGGGAUAAGAGUGUGGAAAGCCUUGAAUGCCAUUUUAUGGAGUCCCCACUUUAGGCAGUGGGGAACCUGUCAGGACUUCUGAUCUAGGAGUAACCCUAUCAGACACCUGGAGGUAGUUUGAAGGAUGAGCUGGAGGAGGUGGAAAGGGGACACAGAUAUUAGAUAUGUAUUACAAUCCAAGCCAGGCAAUAGGGCCUUAACUAGGGCAGUGGAGCAGAAAAGUGGACCUGAGAGACAUUUUGGGGGAAGAUGGUGGUUUCAAGACUGAGUAACUAGAAGUAUAUUGGUAUUGAUUAUUGAGAUUAGAAACCAAAGGAGAAGUAGUUUGGGGAAUAAGAAGUUGGGAGAGAAUAGGAUGUGUUGAGUGUAAAGUGCCUGUGGAAUAUCCACCUAGGAGUGACUGAGCAGCUGCAAGUGCAGCUGUGGAGCUUAGUAGCUGCCGGAGGACUGGAGUUGAGGGUUUGUGAGUCAUUUGCACCGACAUGCUGACUGAAGCCCCGGGAAAGGAUGAGCUCAUCCAAGGCUAGCAUUUACUGUGAGAAGUGGGCCAAGGGUACACAUUACACCAUAAGACAAGGGACAAAGGCAGACUUUCUCACUGGAAAAGUCUGACCCUGUGUGGAGACUGUGGUGAAAUACAAUUCUGACGACCAAUUCUGAGGUUUCAACCUCAUUCUUCCUUUGUUGCAAUCCUGCUGGCCAAGGUGACCUUGUCUCCAGUCAAGUGCUAUCCUCAGAAGCCUUAGGGUUUGGCAAAAUAGAGCUGCCAGCCUGGGAAACUUCAUUCUGGUUAAUGUUUUACUGUCUGAAGCUGAAGGAAGAAUUUGGUUUCCCACUAGCUCUGGAAUUUCAGUGUCCAAACAGCUAAUGUGUUAUUUAAAAUGAGAUUGUAACAAUGAGACCAAAAACCUAGAAACUGGAUUUGUUGGAUUUUUUUUUUUGUCUAAAAUACAGCGGGUUAGCCACGUGAGGAGAAGAAUCCUUCAUUCAUUACACCAAAGCAAAUCUCUAUAGGAAAGAGAUUUAAACAUUAAAAAAAUGAAACCAUAAAAGUACUCGAAUAAAACAAGACAUAGUAUCACAAGACCAGAAUUUUCAAGAGAAGCCCCACUUUGAAACAUUGUAAACUACUACAGAUUUUACAAACACCCCACAGGCUACUAGUUUUGCAAACUUGAUGUUACACUGCCUGGGAUAGGUGGUGGGUUGGGGGAGGUCUGGCUAAUGUUGCUGGGGCUGGCUGGGCAUUAGUAAAGUCCUCCCAGGAUUGGGUUCCUAUUGAUCUGGAACUUGGGGAUGGAGUAGGAUUUUGCUAGGCUGGGAUAGUGGUCAGUUUGUAGGCAGAGGGCCACUGUUAUCGCCGAAGCUCUGAGUGGUUGAGAGCGGCUCAAGAUUCAGAUUCCAGGAAGGUGUGGUGGGGAGUGAUGAGGCCCGACUGCUGUGGAGCCUGGCCUUCUCUGAUGGGUGAUGGGAAGCCUCAGAAGGGUUUUAAGGCAUGUGGGGAGGAGGGGGAGAGGCGGUUCUCCCACCUUUUAGGUGGGAGUGGGGAGGAUGGAACCUGUGCAGGUGAAGGUGGGCUGCCUGCAGCUGUGGUUUCUCCUCCUGUCUCUCCCAUCUGUCAGGCUCUGAUUUAUAUACGCCCCUUCGUUCCUGCACAUCUUAGGCACGUGGCAUCCCUUGAAGCAGCUGCCUUCCCAGCCUACUAGAAAUAUUUUCUUACAACUGCUGGUGCUCCGUAUUUUCCAUCCUUUUGCAGCCAGUGCCACCACUGCUGGGCACCCCUAGUCACCCAGUCUGCUUUUCACCAUGUUGUGGGGCCCAAUCACAACUCGUCUUGGGUGGACUUUAGUGCUGGGUAUGGGGGAGGUGAAGUAGAACAGGGGAGGAUUGGUAAGCCCGCAAUGGUAGCAGUCUUGCUGCAUGGAUAAUGUCCCCUUUAGGAUAGGCAAAGCCUCAUCCUGCUGCCAGCCAAAGCCUUGCUAGGGAGGAAAUGUUUUGGGAAGAAAAAUUACUCAAGAGUUUUCCUCUGAAAUGUGUCCCCUUCCCUGUCAGCUGCCUUGCCUAUUUCCACAGCUUUUAAAACUCAGCCCUAGACUUGCCUCAUAUGCCAUCCCUAGGCACUAUGACUGCCCCCAGGAAUGGCAGUGAUCUCCCUGUAUUAGCAUGAUAAAAAUCCUCAAUUCCUCCCUCUUCUGCCAAGCCAUGGUGUCUCUCUUUCCCAAACCUGCAGAAUCCAUCCAUUUCUCUCCCCCUCCAUGGCCACUACCCUCAUUCAAGCCACCAUCGCCUCCUGCCUGGAUGACUGCCCUUGCCCUUCAUUCUACUUUAUGCAUGGCAGCCAGAGUGACCUUCAGACAUUCAAAUAGGAGCAUGUCCCUCCUCUUAAAACCCUCCACAAGGACUUGUUACAUGUAGCAUGAACUCUAACCCCAUGGUGUCCUGCGAGACCUGGCCCUGCCUGUCUCUCCACGUCAGUGCAUCUGCUGUCCCUGUGCUCAACUACGUGUUGACCACAUUGGCCUUAGCUGGCAGUUCCUGGGAAAAGUCAAGGUCUUUCCCAUCUCAGGGCCUUUCCACUGCUCUUCCCUGUCCCUGGAAUGCACUUUCCUGGACUCUUCACAUGCUGUGUGAAGACUUGUGAAUGGUUGUCAAAGAAUGUAAAAAAUGAAGGCACAUGAAGCCCUCGGAAUAAACAUAUUCCAGAGGGGCUUUUUGCAAAAACAUUUAAUGUAGGCUCACCCAUUUCUCAGUCUCAGUAAAAUAAACAUUUAUUUACUUAAUAGCCCUUUUCAUAACCUGAAAUCAUUUUGCUAUUUAUCUGUCUCUCCUACUGGCACGUAAAACAUCCCUUGAAGGUUAGACAGUGUUUUUCUUCUUUCCUGUGUUAUCUCCAGUACCUGGUAUACAAUAGGCUCUCAAAGAUCUGUUGAAUGAAUUAAGGGAUAGAUAUUUUAAUUCACUGUUUCUCAGCCAGCACAUGAGCUCUUUGAAGGCCAGGUCCUGUUCUUACUCAUCUCAGUCCUCCCACUGCCUAGCACGAUGCCAGGCAUAGAAUAAGUGCUCCAUAAAUAUUAGUGAAACUGAAAUCAUUGGAUUGAAUUUCAGUUCUUUUUUGUACAAACUGUUCUGUCCCCUCAUCACUGUGUACCCUUAUCUUUUCCCAGAGCAUAAAUGAACAUAAGAGGGAGAAUUCCUCACGUAGCUACAGGGAACCUCACAGAAUCCAGUAGGAGUUAUGGGGCUGGAUAUGGGAGUUGUUAGAAGCAGAGAGGCAGAGGUGAUUACACGGCUGCACAGUCCUAAGAAAGGUUGGGGGAAUGGGCAGGGAUCUAUACCAUUUAUUCCACAGUGUAUUCUGGGCUAUUUUUAAAAAAGAUUUUAAAUCAUGUUUGUUGCUACCUCCACCUGUUUCCUUUUGGGAAUGGUAACAGGGCUGUGUGCUUGUUGCAGGGACAGGUAGAUAGGGAAGAAGCUGUGAGACAGUUCUUUUCCUCCAUGAGCAAGAGAAAAAUAGAUAACCUUACCAGGUAGUGGCUAUGGCAGGAAUUGUGGGCAGGAUCGUUCCUAGGGCUUUUAGCAGGGUUGAGAGUAGGAUAGGCUCAGGACUAGUUGUGGCCUUUGGGGAAAGGAGGUGGUCACAAUAGAUACUAAACUCCACCCCUCUAGUUAGAGCUCCCAGGAACAUCCUUUCAACCCACCCACUGCCACUACAGGCUCCCCAGAAUAUGGCUGCAGGCCCCAUCUAGUGCCCUGGACCAGUGGCCAUCUCAUGGGAUAGGGAAUGGGGAUGGGCCUCCUAAAUUUGCUUCUAGGGAGAUGUGAUCCUGGAAGUCCAAAAUAGAAUUUUGAGCCCAUUUCUCUUAAAACAUGGCAAAUAUUUAUUCAAUAGAUCUUGAGUGUUAACUAAGGGACAUGUAGUAAGUACCCUAGGAACUGGAAAACCGUGGAAAAGCAAAGACACAGGUCUGACCUCAGAGGGCUUGCAGUCCAACAGGAGAGACAGGCAGUUAUACUACAUUAUCAUAAAAGAUCAUGGGAGGGGGAAUACAAGAUGUUCAGGGAACAGCAAGAAGGGGCUCAGCACACAGCAGGUGGGCAAUAUUUGUGGAAAGAACAAACAAGUAAAUGAUGUAUGUAUAUUGUCCUAUGACUUAAAUUUCCAAGCAAGUUAUCAGGCCGGCUUUUAUGGCGAGGCCUGGGAAGUCAGUUGCCACGUAUAACACUGCAAUGCACUCUUCCACAGAAACAAACCAUCCCAAGAAAUGAGCUUUGGGAAUACUGCCUGUUCAUAGGCAGAGGACAACCCUGGAUCCAUGUACUGGGAAAGUGUUCUGUUGCCUUUGUUCCCCCUACUCUUGCCCCACCCAGGACAGAGAGGGGGAGAGAUGGGACACUGCCUGGAGAUAGCCUCAAAGGCACCAUUAAAUUCCCUGAUGUUGGAAGGGGCUGCAGUACUUGCCUGAAUGGCACCAAGGUUUUCAAUGAGUUGUUCAGGAGUGGAUGAUCCCAGGAGCACAGAACUCACACCUUCAUUUCUCAGGCACCACGCUGGGAGGAGAGGACACUGGGUCAGUUUAUCAAAGCACUUCCAAUCGUUGAUUAGCUUAUAAACACCUGCUACAGCUGUUUGUUGCAGCCAAAAUUUAUUAACUUCUUUUUGUGGAGGAUGUACAGUGCUUCCUAGGAUUAAAAACCUGAGCAGCACCCCCUGUUGUGUAGAAGAUUUGACAGAAUCUGUCAAAGCCCAGCUGGGAGGGGAAAUGCAAAUGCAUAGAGGCGCUGGACAAUGGAUUGUAAGAUUCUCUCCAGCACGCUCAGCUGCCCUCAAGUAGAAGCAGAAAACACAGAUGCACUGCUGUCUUUCUUGCUUCUCCGCUGGUUUUCCAAUUGCUAGCCUACUAUAUGUCUCUUAAUUAACACUCAAUGCAUUUGGGUUGGCUCGGGGCUUAAGGCCUUUUUGCUUUCCACAUAAGGCCCUGUCACCUCAACCAGGGCAUUCAAGCUACCCACCCUAGAAACACAUUGUUCCUGGAAACACCUAACACUGCUCACCAGCAGAUGGCUGGAUUCCUGUUUCUACCUUGGCCCACAACCUCCUGUCUUUCCACUGUAUUCAUGGUCUCAUUUUCCACAUCUGUUGCUUGGAACUCUUGUAGACUCUAGGUUUCUGGUUCCUUGGUUCCCACCUACCUGGCAGCCCUCUCUGGACCUCCCUUUCUUCCUAACCCAAGAUUCAUCCUGUGUUGAUGAUCUAAAUUACUCUCUUAUGAACCCUCACACCCCUCACUUCUUCUGCUUCCUUAGCAAAUCCCCAUCAGUGCUGCAUCUGCGUUUUUGGCUUCUACUUCAGGGUAGCUGAGCGUGCUAGAGAGAAUCUCACAGUUCAUGGUCUGGUGCCCCUAUGCGUUCACGUCUUCCCUCCCAGCUGGCUUUAGCCAGCCUGGCCAGCCUCACUCUUGCCCUUGGUCAUCUUUCUUUUCCCGAAAAUGACCUUAAACCUGUACUCUUAAACCAUCCCAUCAACCCCUGCCCCCUCACUCUUAGUAGAUGACCUUGUCCUAAUGUCUAUAGAAAAUCAAGUCCCUCCAUUGGAAUAUUCCUUAAUUCCCCACUCUCCUGCUGCAUAAGCAUCCACAUCCAUAUCCUCCAGUUUCAGAAGAGGAUGUGUGCGGUUUCUGUCCAAGACCAAACUCUGCCUUGGAGAUAUCUCCUUUUUGCCUUUUCUUGGACUUGAUUCAUACAUGAUCCCACCGCCCCCAUCACCCCAUUUCAAAAUUUCUUACUGUGUCUUUCUGUCAACAAAACAUGCUAAAAUUUCUCCCAUUCUAGAAUAGGCUUCCUCUGACCCUUUUUACCUGCUUAGAUACUGCCCCAACCUUCUUCCCCUCUUAAACUUCUAAAAGGUCAGUCCAGAUUCCCUUACUGAUCUUCUUCACAUCCCAGUCACCUUCUUGCUGUGUCCAGAAGCUAAGGUCCCCAGGAGCCUGCUGGUGAUUACAGUGGACUUCUGAGUCCUUAGCUGCCUGGAACUCAGUGUUGCUGGACUCAUAGAUGCAGUGUCUGCUGGGCCUUCCUGCUAGAUGCCCCACCAGCACCGCAAACUUCUUGCUAUAAUGCCUGGCCUUCUUGCAUUCCCAAUCACAUUUGGGGGCAUCACCAGCAAUGUGGCUCCCCAAUCUGGAAACCUGGGAGUACUCUUUAAGAACUGUCCUGUUCUGACCCCCUUUUCCCUUUUAACUGCUAAGUCCAGUUGAUUAUUCCUCCUAAAUAUUCCUCUAAUCAAGUGGUUUUCAAACUUUGGUAUGCAUCAGAAUCAUCCAGAGGGCCUGUGAAACACCCAUUGUUAUGGCUCACCCGCUGAGUUUCUGAUUCAGGUCUGGGGUGCAGUCUGUGCAUUUUUAACACACUCCUAGGUAAUGCUUAUGCUGAUGCUGCUAUCUGGGACCAUGCUCUUUUUUUUUUUUUAACCAACUUUAUUGAGGUAAAAUUUAUACAUCAAAAAUUUUACCCAUUUUAGGUGUACAUUAAAUAAUUUUUAUAAAUUUACCAACCAUCAUUUUUAAGGUGCAACCUUCACCAUUUUUAAUGCAGUUUUAUAACAUUUCCAUCACCCUAAUAAGAUCCCUACCUCAAGUACCAGGCAGCCACUGAUCUACUUUUUGUCUCCAGAUUUGUCUUUUCUGGACAUUUCAUCUAAAUGGAAUCAUACAAUAGGUGGUCGUUUGUGUCUGGUUUUCACUUAGCAUAUGUUUUCUAGGUUUUUCCGUGUUGCACUAUGUACCCGUAUACCAUUUCUUUUUGUUGCUAAAGAGUAUUCCAUUGUGUGGAUACAGGGCUCAGUUUGACAAUGACUGCUUUGGUUCAGCUGUCUUCUCCGGUUCAGCUGUCUUCUCCUCCUCAGUCACUGCUGCCCUCACUCAGGCCCUCACCAUCUCUCUCCUGGAUAACUGGUUUUCCUACCUCUUGCUUGAAUUGUCCCCUUAUAUUUCCCCCAUACAGCUCUCAUCCAGCCAGCAGCAGUCUCUCUAAACACAAAUCUGAUCAUAUCACUUCCCUAGCUAGUGCCUGACAUAACUCAUUGUCCUGUAAGAUGAGGUUCUUAAUUCUUACCUUGGCAAACCUUAUUUUCUAGCCUACCUCUGCAGCUUCAUGGCUCCCUACCUUGAACUUUGUGCUUCAGGAGCACUCACCUGUCUUUAAAUCCUCUCCAUCUCCAAGCAUCUUGCUGCUUUUCUCCUCUUCCUCUCCCUUCAUUCUGGGGCACAUUGCUCAAGCUGUUCCUUUUGCCUGGAAUGUCCUUUUGCCUUCCCCUUUCUUUUUGCCUCACUAAUAUUUGCCUGUCAUUUGAGAUUCCCCAAAGGUAUUGCCUGCUCCUAAAGUACUUCCCUGAAUUCCAAGCUCCUACUCUAAUUCCCUUAUCCCCUGUUCCCUUCUUAAUAUGAUGACCUGUAUUAAAAUUAUCUGUUUAUUUUCUUGACUUGCCCACCAGGCUGUGAGGUAUGCCUUAUUUGCAGUUGGAUGCUCAGCCACCAGCCCAGUGUCUUGCACAAAGUAGGAACUUAUUAAAUGUUUGUUGAAUAAACAUAGGCAUGGAUGAUUGAUGGAUGUCCCCAAGCACAUCUUCUGCCCCCAUUUGGACAGCCAUAUUGUCAACUGAUACUCUUAAGCUGUUACCGUGUCCAGGCCUUUUAUGGUAAUCACUGAAUUUCCACAUGGGCAAAAUACAAAAUAGUGCUGUAUAAAAGUACCAAUCCAAUCUUUCUCUCUCUUUUUUUUUUUUUUGACUGCAUUAUUUGCUGCUUUGCACUGAGAACUAUUUUUGGCCUUAAAGGUAGUUCUGAGGACAAAGCAGGUUCUAGGUAAAUUAUUGCCCAUAAACUACCUGACUACUCGAGGUCACCAACAGCUGAUUCCCCUAAUGGGCCUGUAGGGCACAGGAGAACCCACUGGGCAGAGCUGGUUACUUCCAUGGUAGCAACUGCAGCUGAUUCUGGAUAAUUAGCACCUCUAACCAAGUGUCACUAGCAAGUAUGUCCAGAGUGCCUGUUCACUAAGAACAAAGUAUGAAUGCUGGCUCCAGUAUACCUGUGUGACUUGGGGAGCAGGCACACAGUUGGGUUCAAGUAGUUUGCUUUCUGCCGGAGGAUCCCUCUCCCACACUCUCCUAGCAGAUCAAAGAUAACGUGCCUGGAAAUAAUUUCCCUUUUGAUUCUGAGAGUUUUGUGGCUAUAAACAAAAUUAUUUAUUUACAAAGAAAGAAGUGACAGGUGAGAAAGACAUCUGAGAGGACAGGAGGAAAAGGGGAAAAAAAGCAUGUUUUAAUUUAAACUCAGAUCCUGUAAAGAAGGCAUUUCAUGUAUAUCUAAUAUCUAGUAAGAGUCUAAAUCUUGUAAAGAUUUCCUCUGUAGAAAGAGAGUGUUCUUUCCUGUCUUUCAGGGCUAAGUUUAAUACUUCAUGUUACUAUCUAAAAACCAUAUAUGAUUGUGCAGAAUAUGUUUCUCUGCAUAUUACUCUGAUUGCUUGCCAUGGCUAAGAGCAGACAGAAUUUCAAGUUUUGCAUGUCUACUCUCUGCAAGAACAUUAUCAUCUUUAUUAGCACUCACUGAGCACCUACUUUUUGCUUUAUAUAUAUAAUUUCCCUUUACUCAACUAGUUUGUAAGAUAUGUAUUAUUAUACCCAUUUUACAGAUGAGAAAAUUGUUACCAGGUUAAGUAACUUGCCUGUGGUCAAAUAGCUAAUAUGUUUUACUGUGCUUGUUAAAGCUGUAGAGUUGCUAAGUAAUAACAUUAAAUACAUUGUUUGAUUUUAUUUUAUUUUUUGAAGAAAGGAUUAAAGCACCAGUCAUACAUAUACUACGGUACAUGGCAUUUUCCCCCCUCUAAAAUCACCUCCCAUUUCUAUCUUUCUAUGACUGCUAAUUGCAACUAACAUUUCUCUGCCUUCCAACCUCUGAAGAGUCAAGCUACCAACAAAUAUUCUAUUAAAUUAUUUUAUUUGCAUAGACCUUAUCUUGAGCUUUUUAUCUCAUUGGGUUAGUGUUUCUGAUAUGUCCCAAUUCCUGCUAUUUCUUAAUCUUUAGGAUUUUUUUUUUUUUGUCUAGAAUCAGCACCCAUUUUAUUCCUUUCUCAUAGCUACCACAUGAAUUCUUUUAUCUCAUUUCUUCAUUUAUAAGUGGAGAUAGUAAUAGAAAAUCCUCCACUAGCAUCGGUAAGAUAUGACUAGUAAUAGUAUAGACCUCCGCGGAUUGUUAUGGUGAUGAAGGAGACAAGACAGUGAGAGUGAGCCUGAGGUGCUUACUAUAGAACCUGACAAAUAUCCCCUAGUAAGGGAACCAGAAGUCUCAGGGCUUUUCUGCCCAGUGUGUAGCCUUUGGCAGCACGUGGCUAUUGAGCAUGCAACGUGUGUCUAGCCUGAAUUGGAAUGUGCUUGCUCUAGGUGUAAAAUAUAUGCUGGAUUUUGAAGAUUUGUAGAAAACAAAGUAAAAUAUCUCAAUUUUUAAUAUUUAUUACAUGUUGGAAUGAUAAUAUUUUGGCUAUAUUGGGUUAAAGAAAAUCCAUUAUUAAAAUUAAUUUCACAUGUUUCACUUUAAUGUUUUAAUGUGGUCACUAGAAAAUUUAAAAUAAGAUACAGUUAUGCAUCCCAUAGCGACAGGGACACGUUCUGAGAAAUGCAUUGUUAGGCGUUUUCCUCAUUGUGUGAACAUCAUAGGGUACUUAUGCAAACCUAGUUGGUAUAGCCUACUGCACAUCUAGGCUAUAUGGGAUAGCCUAUUGCUCCUAGGUUCCAAAUCUGUACAGCAUGUUACUGUACUGAAUACUAUAGGCGGCUGUAACACAUGGUGUUGUGUAUCUAAACAUAGAAAAGGUAUGGUAAAAAUAUGGUAUAAAAUGGUAUACCUGUGUAGGGCACUUACCAUGACUGGAGCUUGCAGGACUGGGAGGUGCUUUGGGUGAGUCAGUGAGUGAGUGGUGAGUGAAUGUGAAGGCCUGGGACAUUCUUGUACACUACCAUAGACUUUGUAAACACUGUGCACUUAGGCUACACUAAAUUUAUUUUUAAGAUUUUUCUUUCUUCAAUAAUAAAUUAACAUUAGCUAACUGUAACAUUUUUACUUUAUAAACUUUUAAUUUAAAAAAGCUUUUGGUUGGCCACCGUGCCCAGCCGCGUGUGGUUUUCAAUUGUUACCAGCAAUCAUGACCUUUCAUGGACUCCACAGCAUUAGAAGAACAACGUUUAUGGCCUUCAAGAACUUUCAGGGUGAAGCUAUUUCUCUAGGAUCAGCUUUUCAUGUGGCAGUAGCCUUGGGCCUGUCACAGCCCUGUAUCUCAUCUUCUCACCAACCCUGGUUUAGUUUUCAACAGACAGAAAUUUGAGCCAGAAGAAAUGGAUGUCACUACACAGUUCACCCCUGACAUCUGUGAUAGUGUAUGUUAUCACUGACAUGUUCUCAUUUAAACUAUGUUAUAAGAGCAAGGAGAAAGAAGUAAGAAAAAUUUGCUAUCAUGUAGAAAAUUCUGGGGAACCUCAAAUAACUCACUUUAUAUUUAGCAGGAGUUUAUGCUUCAGAGAUCAUCUGUCCCUGCAAUAGACAUUUUAUCAUGGUAAGGGUGUGGUCAGCAAUAGAAAACUAUGAUCUCAGCAGAAGUCCCUCUACCACCCCAUAGCUUAGUAAUUUUCUUACCAACAGCUAGCUGAGGUAGUGUGCAUCCCAGACGCUCCGCAAUUGGGGAAAGGUCUUUUAGCUUGUUUUGCUGUUUUCUCCCUUCUUCACUUACAAUUCUUUCUUUCAACCACUGGUAGCACUGGGGAAAAGCAUAACAUUGAAAUGUUAAUGUCUGGUAAAGAUCUGAUGUCAAAGAAUGGUAAUUCAAUAAAAUAUGUGAACCUCAUAAU
RNAcentral lists this long non-coding RNA (11657 nucleotides) under Homo sapiens (human). Its description in RNAcentral is "HSALNT0062751". The record is from RNAcentral. Lineage: Eukaryota; Metazoa; Chordata; Mammalia; Primates; Hominidae.